UCAAGGGCAUUACAGACAAUUUACAACAAAUCUACAGUUUCACAGUAGUUUGAACCAAACGACUUUCUGCUUCUCCACAGCAGGAUGCUCACAGCAGCUUUUCCACAGCUCACAGCUGAACCAAACACACCCUUAGUCUGUGCCAAAGACUGGUUGAUUGGAUUCAAUGAUGAAGAAGAAGGUGAACCAAUGACAGGAAAGCGAAUGUUUGAUUCAGAUGAUGAAGAAGAUGAUUGGGAAAUUUGAUGUAGAUUUAGGUCCAAUGAGCAGAUGUUUAGUAGAAUAGCCUGUUGUUGAGUGUAGCAAGAUCGAUGAUUCAGUGAUAACAAAGUGACUUACCUUCUCCUUCAUCUGUGCACAUUCAAGGU
This is a long non-coding RNA of Zea mays, 368 nucleotides long. RefSeq lists it as uncharacterized. Lineage: Eukaryota; Viridiplantae; Streptophyta; Magnoliopsida; Poales; Poaceae. The transcript is spliced from 3 exons. The record is from RefSeq and is a predicted model, not a curated record.